Long non-coding RNA from Syngnathus acus (greater pipefish), 673 nucleotides. RefSeq lists it as uncharacterized. The transcript has 2 exons. The record is from RefSeq and is a predicted model, not a curated record. Lineage: Eukaryota; Metazoa; Chordata; Actinopteri; Syngnathiformes; Syngnathidae.
CUGGCGGGUCACCGAUUGUACAACACGGCCCUGGGCAGUGAACAUUAACAGAAGUUACCGAGCGUCAAGGCGCGCGCUGAGGGACGGUCAACGUCCGGCGUGCCGACGCUCGCGUGCAAAUCAAGCGCUUGCAUUCUCCUUGGUCUCCGGGCGGGCGCGAUGGCCGCUUGGGGAUACCGCUCACCCCUUUCAAAGGCCUGGCGUCACGUCGCCCCAUCGGUACGUUUGGCACGCUUGAUGAACUUACAUUUAUGGCCCAGCUUGUUCCAAUCGACUGAUUUUGCCGAAAUCAGGAGGCUUGUGAGUGAGUGAGUGAUGAGUGAGUGAGUGGAACGGAGUUUGGAGCGAAGCCUGACUUCAUUCUCGUCCAUUUUCAUAAGGCACGUGGUCUCGCUGCUCCAGGAGUUACGCGACGUGACCGACCCUCGAAGCCCCCCUCCGCUGAGCUGCCAUCGUGCGUCAUCCCAGUUUAACCCGGCCGGCGUUGGCCUCGAACAAACUCACCAAAGGUCACCUCACUGUUUGCCCGACGCUCACGUAACGCAAAGCAGAAAGAAGAAUCAGCAGCCAGUUGUAAUGAAAAUAAAUACAUCUGUUUUAUUCUUCGUAUUUCUAGCGAGUGAGCCCUCCCCGCAUUAAGGCGCAACUUCCACGAGUGUGAUUCACAAAUAUG